Molecule: ribosomal RNA, 1710 nt
Filed under: Escherichia coli
Lineage: Bacteria; Pseudomonadati; Pseudomonadota; Gammaproteobacteria; Enterobacterales; Enterobacteriaceae
Description: partial 23S ribosomal RNA
Rfam family: Bacterial large subunit ribosomal RNA
Source: RNAcentral
GGGUUGUGAGGUUAAGCGACUAAGCGUACACGGUGGAUGCCCUGGCAGUCAGAGGCGAUGAAGGACGUGCUAAUCUGCGAUAAGCGUCGGUGAGGUGAUAUGAACCGUUAUAACCGGCGAUUUCCGAAUGGGGAAACCCAGUGUGUUUCGACACACUAUCAUUAACUGAAUCCAUAGGUUAAUGAGGCGAACCGGGGGAACUGAAACAUCUAAGUACCCCGAGGAAAAGAAAUCAACCGAGAUUCCCCCAGUAGCGGCGAGCGAACGGGGAGGAGCCCAGAGCCUGAAUCAGUGUGUGUGUUAGUGGAAGCGUCUGGAAAGGCGUGCGAUACAGGGUGACAGCCCCGUACACAAAAAUGCACAUAUUGUGAGCUCGAUGAGUAGGGCGGGACACGUGGUAUCCUGUCUGAAUAUGGGGGGACCAUCCUCCAAGGCUAAAUACUCCUGACUGACCGAUAGUGAACCAGUACCGUGAGGGAAAGGCGAAAAGAACCCCGGCGAGGGGAGUGAAAAAGAACCUGAAACCGUGUACGUACAAGCAGUGGGAGCCUCUUAAUGGGGUGACUGCGUACCUUUUGUAUAAUGGGUCAGCGACUUAUAUUCUGUAGCAAGGUUAACCGAAUAGGGGAGCCGAAGGGAAACCGAGUCUUAACUGGGCGUUAAGUUGCAGGGUAUAGACCCGAAACCCGGUGAUCUAGCCAUGGGCAGGUUGAAGGUUGGGUAACACUAACUGGAGGACCGAACCGACUAAUGUUGAAAAAUUAGCGGAUGACUUGUGGCUGGGGGUGAAAGGCCAAUCAAACCGGGAGAUAGCUGGUUCUCCCCGAAAGCUAUUUAGGUAGCGCCUCGUGAAUUCAUCUCCGGGGGUAGAGCACUGUUUCGGCAAGGGGGUCAUCCCGACUUACCAACCCGAUGCAAACUGCGAAUACCGGAGAAUGUUAUCACGGGAGACACACGGCGGGUGCUAACGUCCGUCGUGAAGAGGGAAACAACCCAGACCGCCAGCUAAGGUCCCAAAGUCAUGGUUAAGUGGGAAACGAUGUGGGAAGGCCCAGACAGCCAGGAUGUUGGCUUAGAAGCAGCCAUCAUUUAAAGAAAGCGUAAUAGCUCACUGGUCGAGUCGGCCUGCGCGGAAGAUGUAACGGGGCUAAACCAUGCACCGAAGCUGCGGCAGCGACACUAUGUGUUGUUGGGUAGGGGAGCGUUCUGUAAGCCUGUGAAGGUGGCCUGUGAGGGUUGCUGGAGGUAUCAGAAGUGCGAAUGCUGACAUAAGUAACGAUAAAGCGGGUGAAAAGCCCGCUCGCCGGAAGACCAAGGGUUCCUGUCCAACGUUAAUCGGGGCAGGGUGAGUCGACCCCUAAGGCGAGGCCGAAAGGCGUAGUCGAUGGGAAACAGGUUAAUAUUCCUGUACUUGGUGUUACUGCGAAGGGGGGACGGAGAAGGCUAUGUUGGCCGGGCGACGGUUGUCCCGGUUUAAGCGUGUAGGCUGGUUUUCCAGGCAAAUCCGGAAAACCAAGGCUGAGGCGUGAUGACGAGGCACUACGGUGCUGAAGCGACAAAUGCCCUGCUUCCAGGAAAAGCCUCUAAGCAUCAGGUAACAUCAAAUCGUACCCCAAACCGACACAGGUGGUCAGGUAGAGAAUACCAAGGCGCUUGAGAGAACUCGGGUGAAGGAACUAGGCAAAAUGGUGCCGUAACUUCGGGAGAAGG